Molecule: long non-coding RNA, 452 nt
Organism: Pundamilia nyererei
Lineage: Eukaryota; Metazoa; Chordata; Actinopteri; Cichliformes; Cichlidae
Exons: 4
Source: RefSeq, a predicted model, not a curated record
GUCACAACACCAUCAACAACAACACCUACAUCAACAAAUGCACCAGUGGUCUUCUAUAUAGCAGUUGAAUUGCACAUCUCAGCAACCAAUGUGCCCCCAAAUAUCACUGUUGUACUCAGAGACGUUAUGAAAAAUGUCAUCUCUCCUCAAAUUGAGUUUUUAACAGUAAAAGACUUGAACUUCACCACAUGGUGCUCUCCAGUCUCUACGGGAGUGCAGCAGUGUCAGUGUGAGGACCAGUUUGCUUGGUCAUGUGACAAGUGUGUCGACUAUGGUGCAUGCAGUAAUGUCACCUCAAAAACCUGUGGGUGCAUCAACGGGCUUCCUCCUGGUGGAGAAAUUUGUGAACCAAUCUCAACUUUCAAUCCAUGUAUAACACCAAAUACAACUACAUUACCAUCAGUGACAACUACAACAAUGCCAACACCAACAACAACAACAAAAAUGCCAAA